Molecule: signal recognition particle RNA, 274 nt
Filed under: Phascolarctos cinereus (koala)
Lineage: Eukaryota; Metazoa; Chordata; Mammalia; Diprotodontia; Phascolarctidae
Description: Metazoan signal recognition particle RNA (ENSPCIG00000000997.2)
Rfam family: Metazoan signal recognition particle RNA
About the family: The signal recognition particle (SRP) is a universally conserved ribonucleoprotein.
Source: RNAcentral
UCUGGGUGUAGUGGCACACAUCCCAGCUCUUGGAAAGGUGGAUCUCUUGAGCUAGGGAGUUCUGAGCUGCAGAUGGGCAAUGUUAAUUAGAUAUACGUAUGAAGUUCAAGGACAAUAUGGUGAGCUUCAGGGAGUGGGGGCCACCAGAUUGCCUAAGGAGGAAUGAACCAGACCAGGUGGGAAACACAGCAGGAUAAAUUCCUGUGCCAAUCAGUAGUGGGAUCCGUAUAUGAAUAGGCCCUGUACUUCUAGCCUGAGGGAGAUGGGGAGAACU